UUUCCGUAGGUGAACCUGCGGAAGGAUCAUUAACGAGUUAGGGUCUUUUAGGCCCGACCUCCCAACCCUAUGUUUAUUGAACCUCUGUUGCUUCGGCGGACCCGUCUCACGGCCGCCGGAGGACCGCUGCGAGGCGUCCUCUGGCCAGCGUCCGCCGAUGGCCAACCCACUUAACUCUGAAUGAAUCGUGUCAUAUGUCUAAGUCUAUGAUUAAAUUAAAGCAAAACUUUCAACAACGGAUCUCUUGGUUCUG
Molecule: unclassified non-coding RNA, 253 nt
Filed under: plant metagenome
Description: partial contains small subunit ribosomal RNA, internal transcribed spacer 1, and 5.8S ribosomal RNA
Source: RNAcentral